GAUGAACGCUGGCGGCGUGCCUAAUACAUGCAAGUCGAGCGAACAGACGAGGAGCUUGCUCCUCUGACGUUAGCGGCGGACGGGUGAGUAACACGUGGAUAACCUACCUAUAAGACUUGGAUAACUUCGGGAAACCGGAGCUAAUACCGGAUAACAUGUUGAACCGCAUGGUUUAACAGUGAAAGACGGUCUUGCUGUCACUUAUAGAUGGAUCCGCGCCGCAUUAGCUAGUUGGUAAGGUAACGGCUUACCAAGGCAACGAUGCGUAGCCGACCUGAGAGGAUGAUAGGCCACACUGGAACUGAGACACGGUCCAGACUCCUACGGGAGGCAGCAGUAGGGAAUAUUUGGCAAUGGGCGAAAGCCUGAUCGAGCCAUACCGCGUGAGUGAAGAAGGUCUUCGGGUCGUAAAGCUCUGUUAUUAGGGAAGAAAAGAUGUAGAAGUAAAUAUGGACGUCUUGACGGUACCUAAACAGAAAGCAACGGCUAACUUCGUG
RNAcentral lists this ribosomal RNA (497 nucleotides) under uncultured bacterium. RNAcentral describes it as "partial 16S ribosomal RNA". It matches the Rfam family "Bacterial small subunit ribosomal RNA", at positions 28 to 507 of the family's 1533-position model. The record is from RNAcentral.